Molecule: ribosomal RNA, 395 nt
Filed under: uncultured bacterium
Lineage: Bacteria
Description: bacterial SSU rRNA
Rfam family: Bacterial small subunit ribosomal RNA
Source: RNAcentral
AUCUUGCACAAUGGAGGAAACUCUGAUGCAGCGACGCCGCGUGAGCGAUGAAGCCCUUCGGGGUGUAAAGCUCUUUCGACAGGGACGAUAAUGACGGUACCUGGAGAAGCAGCUGCGGCUAACUACGUGCCAGCAGCCGCGGUAAUACGUAGGCAGCAAGCGUUGUUCGGAGUUACUGGGCGUAAAGGGUGUGUAGGCGGCUUUCUAAGUUCGGUGUGAAAUCUCCCGGCUCAACCGGGAGGGUGCGCCGGAAACUGGCAGGCUAGAGUGUGGGAGGGGAAAGUGGAAUUCCUGGUGUAGCGGUGAAAUGCGUAGAUAUCAGGAGGAACACCUGUGGUGUAGACGGCUUUCUGGACCAUAACUGACGCUGAGACACGAAAGCGUGGGUAGCAAAC